Molecule: long non-coding RNA, 1248 nt
Filed under: Chrysemys picta bellii (western painted turtle)
Lineage: Eukaryota; Metazoa; Chordata; Testudines; Emydidae
Description: lncRNA (ENSCPBG00000019480.1)
Source: RNAcentral
AUCCCCUCUGCACCAUGGUAACUCAAUUUAUCACUUGGAACAAGCCCUGCUGGAAGGGUUUCAGCUCAGCCCGGGUGAUCAAACGUAUCGCCAGAGCAGAGGCAAUGCUUAAAAUAUUUGGCAUAAAUCACAUCUUUCAGGGACACAGGUAACGAGGCUGUGAUUUAGCUCCCCUUGCACAUGGGGAUUUUUUUUUUCAUCGUGUUUUCCUUUUUAAUGACCCACUUAAACCAUUUCUGAAGAUUUAAUUUAUGGGUCCACAUUCUUAACAGAGGGUUAGCGGCCUCGGCGCAUCAGCUUUGGCGGCCUUAUCGCUCGAUUCAUUCCGCAUGGUUUUGCAUGACCGCACAAGGGCUCAGCGCGCUGACUGGUAUGCAGAUAAAAGAGGGGAGGAAAGCGUUCACUCACAGCCGGGCAGCCGCAGCAGCUGUGGAAUAGCUAAGCGGGUGUGUUUGGGGAAGCUGUGAAUGGCCGAGCAUGCUGUGAUCCAUGUGGCAUCUCGGCUGCUUUGAUGGACUCUCUGAAUGAGAGUGAGACGGGUUUUCCGCACACCCGGUUUGAGCCUGGCGUUGUUGGAAAUGAAGAGCCGGAUUCAACCCAGCAGGCACCAACUGCAGUCAAUCGGUGCCCUGUGGGUGAGGACCGACGGGGCUACAGCCGGUUGCCUGUGCUUGGGGAAAUCAGGCAGGAGAAGACAGCUGUACAGAUUACAGCAUUUGCAGAAGCAGGAGGAAGAUGACAGUUAACACAAGAGAAAAGCUGUGGGUGUUUGAGCUCCUCUGUGUGUGUGUGACACGAACGCUCCAGAAGAAAGCAGUACAGAUCCAGCUUCAGGAUGUUAAUAUCAGUACUGGCCUUCAAGGAGGUGUUUCAUAAUCUCUGAUGACAUUAGGUACAGGGAUAUAGGAUUCAUUAAGAUGGAUCGGGCCAUUGGGUCCUGUAAUGGGACUUUUGGGUGCUCAAGGAGCACCAGAUUGGGCUUUCAGGCCCAAAUUCUCCAACAGAAUCUCCUAAAUUGGGAGCCUCCAUUUUUAGCCCAUCUCGAAGCAUCUACCAGGACCUGGUGCUUCACAGCAGCAACUCCAGUCAAAUCAAUGGGAUCUGUGGGGGUUCAGCAUUUCUGAAACUGGGCCCUACGGGUGUCAAGUUGGGCACCCAGCACUUGAAGCACCCUCAUACCCCAUCAUGGUAGCCUCCGAGUACCCACCCCCCAACAUUAAUAGUUACUAGUUGAUUAAUCGGUAAUUA